UAUCUUCAGUCAGACUUGAAACUUGACGUCGUGACGGUACAUUUUCUUCGUUAACUAGCUUCAAUUUUUGUACUAAAUUCGUAACCGUCUGUUUUCGUCAAGCUUCGAUAUUUUAUAUUUCUGACCAUUGUAUCACAUCAAAGUUCGAGAAUCAAGUGAAAGACAGUGCGAAUACCGUUAUACUUCGUCUGCCGUCCAGUUUUCUCUGCGAAAUUUGAAACGACCUGAUUCUGCAUUCGCUCCGUAGCCACGCAUCCGCGUGGGAGUUUAGCCACAGUAGUCGACGAGGUCGAUCGAUAUCUCGAAUUCAGUCUCCCUCCCCUUGCAUCCCGAGAGACAGUCACGACCUCGAGGGUUGUUGGCCUCGUUUCAACCCCUCGCCGGAACGCGAACGUAUAAGGAGCUGAUGAAUAUU
Molecule: long non-coding RNA, 415 nt
Organism: Bombus pyrosoma
Lineage: Eukaryota; Metazoa; Arthropoda; Insecta; Hymenoptera; Apidae
Exons: 3
Source: RefSeq, a predicted model, not a curated record